This 101-nucleotide transfer RNA is filed under the name Rhizoctonia solani. RNAcentral's name for it is "tRNA-Arg". It matches the Rfam family "tRNA". Rfam says of the family: Transfer RNA (tRNA) molecules are approximately 80 nucleotides in length. Lineage: Eukaryota; Fungi; Basidiomycota; Agaricomycetes; Cantharellales; Ceratobasidiaceae. The record is from RNAcentral.
GGGCGCGUAGUGGAGUGGUUACCACGUUGGUCUUCGAUUCGUGUGCUUAUGCUUACGGAAUUCACAACCAAAGUUCGUCGGUUCGAUCCCGGCCGUGCUCA